Molecule: small nuclear RNA, 126 nt
Organism: Lampris incognitus (smalleye Pacific opah)
Lineage: Eukaryota; Metazoa; Chordata; Actinopteri; Lampriformes; Lampridae
Product: U4atac minor spliceosomal RNA
Exons: 1
Source: RefSeq, a predicted model, not a curated record
UCUUUCCUUGACAUGGGGUGAGUGAGCUGCUCAAUGAACGCAUAGUGAGCGCAGCACUGCUGACACCAUAACAACACUUCAGCAUCAACUGAGUAUCCACUCAGAUUUGGUGCAAUUUUUGGAACC